AGUGGGGGGGGAGGGGGGGGGGUGAUUUAAAAUAAAUGACAUUAAUGAGAGAAGGCAUUAGCUGAUGAUAGGCUACUGUGGAACUUGCGUGGCAUUACUGUGGAACUGCUGUUUUCCAGGACUUCUUCUCAUGGGACAUUGUAAACAGGAAAAUGACUGAGAGAAAGGAAAUAAAAUCUACUCUGACCUGACGGAGGAAUGGAACUUGGAAAUGGAACUUGGAAAUGGAAAUUUCCUGAUCAUAUGCCCUGAAGAUAAUUGUGAUUGUAUCGCAAACUGUUAAUUUGUGCUAAAAAUGUAAUAAAGCUUCUGGCUGUGUGACCUGAUGAUUUCUCAGCUGUUGUAAUGUCUUCACACACAUUUCCUUUCACUCACAACUCAGAUUGUGAAUGUAGCAUUUGGUGCGUUUUUAAUGAAUUUAUCUAAGAGAAAAUUUGUAUUAAAGUUCCUGAUAAUUUGACCUGAUGACAUCAUAAAUAAUACUUGAACCUGACUAAAGCAGGAAUCAAACACAGAUUUUUAUGAUGUGCAUUGUUCAAUGGCGAACAGCCUACCACAGCUCCACCUAAUCAGUUUUAUUUUAUUUGUAAAGCCUCAUAUAUACUUCAGUUCUCUAAACAUAUGCCCUGAAGAUAAUUGUGAUUGUAUCACAAACUGUUUAUUUGUGUUCAAAAUUUAAUACAGCUACUGGUAAUGUGACUUGAUGAUUUUACUGCUGUUGUUCACACACAUUUCCUUUCCAUCAUACACGAGUCGGAUUAUGAAAAUAACAAUUGGUCUAAUUUUCAUGAUUUUUUUUUCCGUAAUACAAAUCUGUUAAACUUCCUGGUCAUGUGAUCUGAUGAUGUCACACCAGUUGUACGAUCUUCACUCAAAACUUGGAUUUUGGAAAUAUGAUUUUGUGUAUUUUUGGUGAAUUUUUGAAAUAUUCAAAGCUAUAUAACUUCCUUGUCAUGUGACCAUUGCCACACCCACUGUAUUAUAUUCAUAAAUAUUGGUCAAACACCUCUCAUGCAGUAGUUUGUGGAAAUUUGUCUCAAACAUUUAAAAACAUCAAACGUAUCAAAUUUAUAUAUAUAGCACUUAGCUGAAUAUUUUAUUCAGCAGGUAAUGCUCAACCACGGAAAAGAUGAGUUAGCACCUAAAAUUCAGUACUGCCAAUAUUUUGGAAAAAAAACAUAUAGUUUUGAUGCCGUUUGUUGUGAUUCUGAGAUUAACUGUUGUAUGUUAGUUUGUUAAACUAGUUUUUUCAUAUUUUAUGGGGAAAUGUUUUCAGAUUAAAAAUGCAUGUUUUAUUUUGUUUUUAAAUGAAUAUUUGGAAUUGAAUUAAAAUAAAACAGAAAAUUGCAUGAAUGUUCCUUUAUUUGUUUGCUUUUUUCUUAAUUUUCUAGUUUAACAUAUUGGAAAAAUGAAACAACUGAUAUAGAUUUAACUUGGAAAUUACACUGGAAAAUGUUUAAUUCAUCCAUGAUCCAAUUAAAAAAAACAUAGGGUAAUGAUUUCACAUCUCAUUUUUUUUUACUUGAGCCAAUGAAAAAUAAAUAACUUGCCCUAAAC
This is a long non-coding RNA of Cyprinus carpio carpio, 1557 nucleotides long. NCBI's taxonomy places the organism in Eukaryota, Metazoa, Chordata, Actinopteri, Cypriniformes, Cyprinidae. The record is from Ensembl.